UUUUAGACCUGAUUGAAAUGGAAAGCCCGCAGCGCAGCGAGGACUUGUAAUGAAAAGCAGGAACAAAC
RNAcentral lists this small RNA (68 nucleotides) under Pedobacter terrae. RNAcentral's name for it is "Flavo-1 RNA". It matches the Rfam family "Flavo-1 RNA". The record is from RNAcentral. Lineage: Bacteria; Pseudomonadati; Bacteroidota; Sphingobacteriia; Sphingobacteriales; Sphingobacteriaceae.